Long non-coding RNA from Trichoplusia ni (cabbage looper), 3244 nucleotides. RefSeq lists it as uncharacterized. Lineage: Eukaryota; Metazoa; Arthropoda; Insecta; Lepidoptera; Noctuidae. The record is from RefSeq and is a predicted model, not a curated record. The transcript is spliced from 4 exons.
AUGUACAGCGGACGAUAGAACAUAUUUUAUUUUUAAUAACACCUUAUUUUUUCUAAGAAUAUUGUAGUUUUUCAAUUUUAUAUAUAUAAAUUACAAAAAUACCCACUAAAAGGCAAAACUUUUAGAUUUUAGGGAACUCAUUAAAUGCGUGUUUAAUAUUUGCCCAUGCAAUCCAAGACUUCUGUCAGGGUUUAUUUAUCAGGGUUUAUUAUGGAACCAAAUAAGUUGAAAAUUCAAAUUGUUGAUUGUAUAUUUUAGGUGCACGUAGUACGUAGUUGUUGUUAUGAGCACGCAUUUUAAAUAUCAAAACGAUCUGAACAUAGGCACAGAAAUCGAAAGCUCUUUCUGUGUGGGGCAGAGAAAGCCUCAGUGCGCAUGUCACUCGAGUACACACCCCCUUAGCCAUCGCAUUUUAGUGUUUCAAACUGAACAAUCAAGACCUUUAGCAUCGUAGUUAUUCGAAGAUUGUUACGAAACAAGUUGACUUUUACACAUUUUGUAAAGUAUGAUAUCAAAAAUAUAUUUAACAUUGGAGUUUGUGACAUCUGCAGUCCGGUGGUCAAUGCAAGACCGUGGAAAGUGCUAAAAACAAUAAGUUUGUGACGUGUUAUUCCGUAAUGUUUUGAGCGCUGUUGCUAUACAUCACAAAUCGGCGACUUGGAACCCCGUGUAUGUUUACGACUUCAUACCAGUGAAUACCACCAAAGUGCAGAAUAAUAUUGAUGUUACUAUUACGCACUUAAAGCUUAUCAGAGUUGUAUAUUGAGUCAGUGUUGUAUUUUGCUCGAGUUGAGAAAUUUAAACAAUGAGUGCUCGUGUAAUAUUUAAAUUCAUUACAGACCGAUUGAGUGUGGUGGGGUAUGCCAUGCUCUCUAUAGUAUGUGAGCCAUUUGCAUGUAUCAUUGUUUGGCUAAAGAAUUUAAUGGAACGGGCAUUGGAGAGCCGAUGUUUUGCUACAAAGCGAGACAAAAAGGAAGACGCAUGCAUUAAAAGUUCAUUAAACAGCUCGAGUCGUCAAGACAGAGACCUAAAGCCAAUUGAAAUUACGAAAAAGUCUAGAAGUGCAUUGGAAAUGGACUGGAAUGAUUUUUGAACAGGCACUUGUGUCCAUGAUACCUACAGUCUCUUCAAAGGUAUCACAAGAUUACCAAAGUCUUUUGCUGUCGAAAGUGUAAAGUUUGUUAUAUUAUAUGCUGUCGUCGAACAGAAGCUUCAGUCUGUUGCUGUGUUCCAACACGACGAGCUGUUUGAAAUUUUGAAAUAAGACUUCUUUGAAUGCAAGACUACUUCCUCUUUCCAUUGCAAUAAGGGAAGUGGCUGAGUAUAAUAUACAUCUUAAUAAUUUUAAAAUUAGUGUUAGAGAUGUAAACUUCUCUAAAGUAGCUAAGUAAGUUUUAAUCAUACCAAUACUAUAAAAAUGUACAUAUAUUUUCCGAAGAGAAAAAUUAUCGUGAACGAAUAUUAUAAAAUAUGUAUAUAUUUAUCUCUUAAGAAUCCUAAAAACUUAUUACAUAGCCUAACAAAACUGUUUACGCAAGUAACGAUAUUACCCGCAGUAAGAAGUAUUUAUAAAAAGUGCAGGCCGGUAAGUAGGUAUGAGAACUGUGAGGUCCAUAUCUGAGCUGUAGCUGGUAGGUACAGAUAUCAUAAUCCAGAGAGUUUAUUUCUGCACAGCUCGCAUUUGCAAAAUUUAGCUUAAAAUGUACGUGUUUCACUUGUAUGAAAAGUAAUGAUGAAUUUAAGAAAUUUAUCUAAAAAUGAUAAGUCUCUUUUUGGCAUAGUCGGGAGUCGGAUAAGCAACUUUGUAUUUUUUAUGCUGUUUAUUAAAAUGACUUUUACUAUAUUCCUCCUCUUGUUAAUACUGUUAUAAUUAAUUAGUGUAUUAAUUAACUUGAAGCUAUUCCUGAUCCGUAAAUUUACUUAACAUCUAAAAGAUGAGAUUUUAUAAAUAUACUUCAAAUUCAGGCAAAAUCCAGAAUUAUAUUUAAGUGUACAGAAUUCGAUUUUCAUAUUUUGCUUAGCAACUCCGUCCAGCGCCUCUGUGUCAGUAAACAGAUAUUUGUAUUCUUAAGUCAGUCCGUUUGUACGUGCCAUUUUCUUACUAACUAUUAAAACAUUCACUUUCGACAGCGUAUGUUAUGUUGUUAUUUCCAAAUUUGAUGCUCAAUACUUUUAACGGUAUCGAAAUGAUUUUAACCUACUGGCGGCAUAAUCAACCUCAAAUAUACGAGAAUUAUCACGUUAUGAAUCAAACACUAUUUUGCUUUUAUUUCUUUUUAUUUUAUGUGAUGACAACCAUUUCGAUUAUUUUUAAUUUGUCACAGUAUUGAUUGAAAUGUUGGCCCAUUAUCGAGCCAUGACUGCAAGUUGCAGGUUGUUUAUAUGACUGUUGUAUUAUAUAAUUCUAUUGUUGCUAAUGCUUAAGAUAUUUACACAAAGAAUGUGGAAACCUACAACACUUUUAAAGUAAUGUUUCGAGAGUAAUGUGUGAGCAACAUUAUAUUAUAACUAGUGUUUUAGCCUAUAACUCAUGACUGUACUAAACUUUAUCGAAAAAGAUUAUUGUAAAAUAUUUAGCUAAAUCUAUAAAAAAAUAUAUUACGUUCGUAAUGAUAGUAUAAAUUGAAAUAAUUUAAAUAGUACUCUUAUGCAAUAACAACUGUUGUACAAUAUUAACAUGUGUUGUUUGUGUAGUCCGAGAGGUGAGCGACAAGGUGCUUUUCAUAAAAAUUGUUUAAAUGAUUUUUUUACAUUAGGGCUUUUGUGAUCCCUUAACAAUAAUUAGGUGAUCUUUAGGUCAGUCAGUCUAACUAAAGCGUUAAGCAACUUAAAAGUUAUUAACAAAGGAAAUUUAUAAAACACGUGAUACGUUUGUCAAAUAGAUCUUGGAAAAAUACCAAUCAAUCACGAGUCGAAGCUAUGGAAAAUAGAGAUAUUCUGCACGAGCUUUUUCAAAGUCACGACAGUUACUAUCAAAAUUAUCACCUUGUCGUUCCCUACCCAAAUAUUUAUGAUAUGCCUAAGAAUAUUUUUGUGUGUUGUCGCAAUACUAAUUUAUAUGUAAAAAAAACUACAUUAUGCAUUCAUAGAAUAAAAUACACCUAGAGACAGUAUUCUUAACUCUUUUCCGGUAUCCUGAUUAAAACAGAAUUGUCAGAAGGAUAAACCGGCACCAAGUCUACAUUAUUAGUAAUAUACUGAAUAUAAAUUGUAAUUCGUAUUUUAAUUAUAUUUUUAUGUCAAC